GGUGACUCAGUGGUAGAGUACUUGCCUCACAUGCACGAGGGCCUGGGUUCAAUUCCUCAGCACCA
This 65-nucleotide transfer RNA is filed under the name Dipodomys ordii (Ord's kangaroo rat). It matches the Rfam family "tRNA". From Rfam's summary of the family: Transfer RNA (tRNA) molecules are approximately 80 nucleotides in length. Lineage: Eukaryota; Metazoa; Chordata; Mammalia; Rodentia; Heteromyidae. The record is from Rfam by way of RNAcentral.